GCCGGGCGUGGUGGCGCGUGCCUGUAAUCCCAGCUACUUGGGAGGCUGAGGCAGGAGAAUGACUUGAACCCAGGAGGCAGAGGUGGCAGUGAGCCGAAAUCGUGCCACUGCACUCCAGCCUGGGUGACAGAGUGAGAGUCUGUCUCAA
This is an unclassified non-coding RNA of Macaca mulatta (Rhesus monkey), 148 nucleotides long. It matches the Rfam family "Metazoan signal recognition particle RNA". Rfam says of the family: The signal recognition particle (SRP) is a universally conserved ribonucleoprotein. It is involved in the co-translational targeting of proteins to membranes. The eukaryotic SRP consists of a 300-nucleotide 7S RNA and six proteins: SRPs 72, 68, 54, 19, 14, and 9. The record is from Ensembl. NCBI's taxonomy places the organism in Eukaryota, Metazoa, Chordata, Mammalia, Primates, Cercopithecidae.